RNAcentral lists this ribosomal RNA (492 nucleotides) under uncultured bacterium. Its description in RNAcentral is "partial 16S ribosomal RNA". It matches the Rfam family "Bacterial small subunit ribosomal RNA", at positions 28 to 507 of the family's 1533-position model. The record is from RNAcentral.
GAUGAACGCUAGCUACAGGCUUAACACAUGCAAGUCGAGGGGAAACGGCAUUGAGUGCUUGCACUCUUUGGACGUCGACCGGCGCACGGGUGAGUAACGCGUAUCCAACCUUCCCAUUACUGUGGGAUAACCUGCCGAAAGGCAGACUAAUACCGCAUAGUCUUCGAUGACGGCAUCAGAUUUGAAGUAAAGAUUUAUCGGUAAUGGAUGGGGAUGCGUCUGAUUAGCUUGUUGGCGGGGUAACGGCCCACCAAGGCUACGAUCAGUAGGGGUUCUGAGAGGAAGGUCCCCCACAUUGGAACUGAGACACGGGCCAAACUCCUACGGGAGGCAGCAGUGAGGAAUAUUGGUCAAUGGACGGAAGUCUGAACCAGCCAAGUAGCGUGCAGGAUGACGGCCCUAUGGGUUGUAAACUGCUUUUGUAUGGGGAUAAAGUUAGGGACGUGUCCCUAUUUGCAGGUACCAUACGAAUAAGGACCGGCUAAUUCCGUG